UACAGAGGGGGCAAGCGUUAUUCGGAAUUACUGGGCGUAAAGGGCGCGUAGGCGGCCAUCUAAGUCAGACGUGAAAUCCCCCGGCUUAACCUGGGAACUGCGUCUGAUACUGGACGGCUUGAGUAUGGGAGAGGGAUGUAGAAUUCCAGGUGUAGCGGUGAAAUGCGUAGAUAUCUGGAGGAAUACCGGUGGCGAAGGCGGCAUCCUGGACCGAAACUGACGCUGAGGCGCGAAAGCUAGGGGAGCAAACGGG
Molecule: ribosomal RNA, 253 nt
Filed under: uncultured bacterium
Lineage: Bacteria
Description: partial 16S ribosomal RNA
Rfam family: Bacterial small subunit ribosomal RNA
Source: RNAcentral